This 1255-nucleotide long non-coding RNA is filed under the name Olea europaea subsp. europaea. The record is from RNAcentral. Lineage: Eukaryota; Viridiplantae; Streptophyta; Magnoliopsida; Lamiales; Oleaceae.
CUUAGCCUCAUUAGUCAAAUUUAUGAUACAACUCCAAUAAGAUCAAUUGAACCUACAUUACACAACAGUAAUUUUCCAAAUAAUCAUCUAUACUUCUCCAUGCUAUAACUUCGCAAUUUUGUUCAGACAAACAAUUGAGCAAACCAUCAAGGAGAGGAUGUAUGAUUUUCGCUAUCUACGUUCUUCAUUUUUUCUUCCUAUGAGACCCUCCUUUUAACCAUAAGACACAAAAUUUGGAAUAAUAAAGAAAAAACACAAGACAUGUUUCUUUAAAUAACCUUUUUGCUAUUGGAAUGUGACAAUUUUUUAUCUAGAGAUUGCAACUGGGUUCGAAGGUUCUGAUUUUCCUCAAGCAGGCGAUCAUAUUCAAGAACACAGGCGGAUCCAGGCCCGGGCUAGCACGGGCUACAGCCCGUGCUCGCUCAAGCCCAGAAGCAGUCAAUUUUUUUAUUUUUUUUUUCAGCCCAUGUAAAAUUGAAAAUCAGCCCGUGUGGUGUAAAUCCAAUUGCAACAAAAUGAGCAAAUGACCCAACUUCAAUUUAUUGGCCCAAAGAAAACAUAAAUUUUAUUUUCCAUUUAAACCCAAAACUAAAACCAAGCACAAACCAAAUUUAAUUCUAAUCCAACAUUCUCCAACAACAGGUCCACAGUCCACUGGUCCAAAACGAUUCCUCUCCAUUCUCCAACCUUUUUUUUCAAAAUUUCAAUCCAAAAAUUCUAUAAAAAAUUAAGGAACUCAUUACCCUAAUCAAAGAUUUCAUAGCCUAAUACCUUCUAGUAGGUGCCGGCGUGUUGUGAAGAACCGUUAGUCCGCCGUGUAGGAGUCCAAAUCGUCAGUCCGUCGACGCCAGUCACGCCACUGCUAUUCUCCAUUUCUCCUGUGAGCCUCUCUCUGAAUGGCUAUUAUGGAUUUAUGGUUUGUAUUAUUUAGAGUUUAUAGACCAUAGUUGUAUAGGAUAAUAAUAGGAUUAGAAAAUCUAAAAUCUGAAAACAAGAAACGGAAAUGGAAAUGGAAAUCGGAAACACCAAAACAGUAGGCCCGAAUGCUGCUGAAAGUUAGAAACUAAAAAGAAGAAAAGUGACCCUUUUAAUUUAUAAUUUUAUAUGGAUUGUUGACACAUGGAUGGAUGGGAAGAUUUUGAUAAAGUUAAAAGUUAAUUAAUUAAAAUUAAAUAAUGGGAAUUGUUUGUCACUUUGUCUGUUUGUGGCAUAUGGUUUAAAGCACAUAUAGAAUAGUAGAUUAUAAAUAUUAUCU